Molecule: ribosomal RNA, 118 nt
Filed under: Pteropus alecto (black flying fox)
Lineage: Eukaryota; Metazoa; Chordata; Mammalia; Chiroptera; Pteropodidae
Source: RNAcentral
GUCUACAGCCAUGCUACCCUAAACAUGCCUGAUCCCGUCUGAUCUCGGAAGCUAAGCAGGGUCGGGCCUGGUUAGUACUUAGAUGGGAGACCACCUAGGAAGACCAGGUCUGUAGGAG